GGUGAGAUGGCCGAGUUGGUCUAAGGCGCCAGGUUAAGGUGACAAACCCUUAACAAACGGUUAUUCACAACCUCCUGGUCUAGUAAUAGGCGUGGGUUCGAAUCCCACUCUCAUCA
Molecule: transfer RNA, 116 nt
Filed under: Sclerotinia sclerotiorum 1980 UF-70
Lineage: Eukaryota; Fungi; Ascomycota; Leotiomycetes; Helotiales; Sclerotiniaceae
Description: tRNA-Leu for anticodon AAG
Rfam family: tRNA
About the family: Transfer RNA (tRNA) molecules are approximately 80 nucleotides in length. Their secondary structure includes four short double-helical elements and three loops (D, anti-codon, and T loops).
Source: Rfam by way of RNAcentral